Molecule: long non-coding RNA, 234 nt
Organism: Ornithorhynchus anatinus (platypus)
Lineage: Eukaryota; Metazoa; Chordata; Mammalia; Monotremata; Ornithorhynchidae
Exons: 2
Source: RefSeq, a predicted model, not a curated record
AACCCUGGGAAACGCACUUUGGAUUGCAUUCUGAUUAUCAUCAUGCAUCUAUCCGACACUUGACAUUUAGCUGCUCAAAGGAGAGGAAUUCAUCUCAGUGAUGUUGGUUUGACCCUGAGGAGAUAAUCGUGUCUACUUUAAAGGCUCUGGAGGCUGUAACCUGAUUAAUCCCCAACUUUCCCAGACAUGCCAUCCCAUCAACCACUUCAGUGCUCAUAAACGUAUCCAUUCAUC